Molecule: ribosomal RNA, 253 nt
Filed under: uncultured bacterium
Lineage: Bacteria
Description: partial 16S ribosomal RNA
Rfam family: Bacterial small subunit ribosomal RNA
Source: RNAcentral
UACGUAGGGGGCAAGCGUUGUCCGGAAUCAUUGGGCGUAAAGCGCGUGUAGGCGGUUCGGUAAGUCCGCUGUGAAAGUCGGGGGCUCAACCCUCGGAUGCCGGUGGAUACUGUCGGACUAGAGUACGGAAGAGGCGAGUGGAAUUCCUGGUGUAGCGGUGAAAUGCGCAGAUAUCAGGAGGAACACCGAUUGCGAAGGCAGCUCGCUGGGACGUUACUGACGCUGAGACGCGAAAGCGUGGGGAGCAAACAGG